This 72-nucleotide transfer RNA is filed under the name Triticum urartu. It matches the Rfam family "tRNA". Rfam says of the family: Transfer RNA (tRNA) molecules are approximately 80 nucleotides in length. Their secondary structure includes four short double-helical elements and three loops (D, anti-codon, and T loops). Lineage: Eukaryota; Viridiplantae; Streptophyta; Magnoliopsida; Poales; Poaceae. The record is from Rfam by way of RNAcentral.
GGGCAUUUGGUCUAGUGGUAUGAUUCUCGCUUAGGGUGCAAAAGGUCCCGAGUUCAAUUCUCGGAAUGCCCC